Molecule: small nuclear RNA, 188 nt
Filed under: Canis lupus familiaris (dog)
Lineage: Eukaryota; Metazoa; Chordata; Mammalia; Carnivora; Canidae
Also listed under: 1 other name
Description: U2 spliceosomal RNA (multiple genes)
Rfam family: U2 spliceosomal RNA
About the family: U2 is a small nuclear RNA (snRNA) component of the spliceosome (involved in pre-mRNA splicing). Complementary binding between U2 snRNA (in an area lying towards the 5' end but 3' to hairpin I) and the branchpoint sequence (BPS) of the intron results the bulging out of an unpaired adenosine, on the BPS, which initiates a nucleophilic attack at the intronic 5' splice site, thus starting the first of two transesterification reactions that mediate splicing.
Source: Rfam by way of RNAcentral
AUCACUUCUCAGCCUUUGGCUUAGAUCAAGUGUAGUAUCUGUUCCUAUCACUUUAAUAUCUGAUACAUCCUCUAUCCAUGGACAUAUUAAAUAGAUUUUUGGAGAACGGAGAUGGAAAAGGAGCUUGUUCUGUCCACUCCACACAUCAACCAGGUUAUUAUAGUACUUUCAGGAAUGGUGGCCCCCUC